RNAcentral lists this ribosomal RNA (116 nucleotides) under Branchiostoma floridae (Florida lancelet). Lineage: Eukaryota; Metazoa; Chordata; Leptocardii; Amphioxiformes; Branchiostomatidae. The record is from RNAcentral.
GGCAAUGGCCGUGGCACUUUAAUACUCCUGAUCCUUUUAUCUCGGAAGUUAAGCAACGUGCAGUCGAGUCAGUACUUGGAUGGGAGACCACCAAGGAAGACUGGAUGCUGUAGCCA